CUUACACCUGAAGAUGUCUGCUAACACCAGAUCGUCUUGAUGCCAACCUCUAGCCCAAUCGACAUGACCUGGAAUAACAAAGCUACUACAUACACCCAACUAAAGCAUUUACUAGUCCUAGUAUAGGCGAUAGAAAGGACACCAUUGGAGCGAUAGAGACUACGUACCGUAAGGAAAGAUGAAAUAUUAGUGAAAUAAACUAAGCUAAAAACAGCAAAGAUCAACCCUUGUACCUUUUGCAUCAUGGUCUAGCAAGAAAAACCAAGCAAAAUGAAUUUAAGUUUGCCAUCCCGAAACCCAAGCGAGCUACUUACGAGCAGCUAUUUUGAGCGAACCCGUCUCUGUGGCAAAAGAGUGGGAUGACUUGUUAGUAGAGGUGAAAAGCCAACCGAGCUGGGUGAUAGCUGGUUGCCUGUGAAACGAAUCUUAGUUCACUCUUAAUUCUUCUCCAAGGAAACACACAAACCCUAAUGAAGCGAAUUAAGGGCAAUUUAAAGGGGGUACAGCUCCUUUAAAAAAGAAUACAAUCUCCACGAGCGGAUAAAUAAUAUUCCCCAAUUAUACUGUGGGCCCUCAAGCAGCCAUCAACAAAGAGUGCGUUAAAGCUCUACUCCUCAAAAAUAUAAGAACAAUAUGACUCCCUCAUCACUAACAGGCUAACCUAUACCCAAAUAGGAGAAUUAAUGCUAGAAUGAGUAACCUGGGUCCUCCCUCUACGACGCAAGCUUACAUCUGUACAUUAUUAACAAAUCACCAAUAUACGACAAAUCAAACAAGCAGAGUAUUAGGUACAUUGUUAACCCGACAGAGGAGCGUCCA
RNAcentral lists this ribosomal RNA (819 nucleotides) under Rhodospiza obsoleta. RNAcentral describes it as "partial 16S ribosomal RNA". The stretch from base 213 to 819 matches the Rfam family "Bacterial large subunit ribosomal RNA", at positions 569 to 1264 of the family's 2925-position model. Lineage: Eukaryota; Metazoa; Chordata; Aves; Passeriformes; Fringillidae. The record is from RNAcentral.